Cercocebus atys (sooty mangabey) is the source of this 1754-nucleotide long non-coding RNA. RefSeq lists it as uncharacterized. Lineage: Eukaryota; Metazoa; Chordata; Mammalia; Primates; Cercopithecidae. The record is from RefSeq and is a predicted model, not a curated record. The transcript has 3 exons.
GAGAGUAUAGCUCAGUAGAAGGAAAUAGCUGCCAGAUAGAGGAGGCUCUUGCUUGGCUCAAAGUAAUUUUCAGAUAAAAGGGUGGUCAUGACUUGUUAUUAGUGAACAUAGAAUCUAGGGAAGGAUUCAUUAUGUGAAAUGUGAAAUAAAAACUUUCAGGCAAAGGGAAAAGUAAGUAUACCCAAGGUUGCAAAAGUUUUGCAGUUCAUGAGGACUUAAAAAUGACUCAGUUGAACUAUGGGAGAGGCAAGAGUGGAAUAGAGGAGUCAGGACAUGAGGUCAGAGUUAGGUGGGAGUGAAAUCACUUUGAGACCAUGCAGAGUAUGGGGAACUGAUAGGUUUAAGCCCCAAGGCUCAGAGAUGCUACUGACGGCUUAAAGGAAGACAAGUAACAUGAUUUGACACUAGUUUUAAGAAAUAUUACUCUGGCUUUCUUAUUCAUCCCUUUACCUUUUUCCCUUUCUUUAUCCAUCUGCAAUUCCAGUAACAUUGUUCAUAUUAUCCAGAUUACAAAAAAUUUAAACACUUGCCAUUUGUAUAACUGUUUUCCCUCUUCUUUCAGAUUUCUACUUUCUUUCUCUCAAGGGAUUGUGAAACCACGUUAGGGUAUACAUCUGGUUAGACUACAAGUUUCCAAUGCUCUUGGGAAACAUUUGUUACAAAGUAGUAGUUGGGUGACAUGGUUUCAUUGUUUUAAUGAAAGUGAAAUGGAAUUAACACAUUUUUGUAUUAAAAUGGCUCUUUAGAGAUCUGACUACUAGGGAAAACAACAAUGUUUUGUUUGACUAUGUUAUGAAGACUUCAAACUUAGUUCCCAAUAAACCUCACUUUCUGGUAUUCAUGCCCUUGUGUAUUCCACUCCUUGCAAGUAUAAACUAAUCCUAGAGAUCAAUAAACUACAGUAAGUUGAUGAGAUGUCAAUCAUGUAAUAACUUACAAAAGUUUAUGAAUUCCAUAUUGCUAAACCAUCCUCUCCAUUGCUUUUUUGACUUGCACAUUUUGAUGGAGAGACCCAAAUUAACAAAGAACUGUGGAAGAUUUCUAGUCAAAAGUCAACGGGGAACUGAUUCUUGCCAACAACCACUAAACUUGGAAGUAGAUCCAUCAGCAACUGGACCUUCAGAUGAGAGUCAUGUAUGACACCUUGAUUGUGAUCCUGUGAGAGACCCUUAGGCAGAGCACCUAGUUAAGUCAAACUCAGAUUGCUGACUCCCAGAAAUUGUAAGAUAAUGAAAUGCCAAUAUAAGAAUUGAAUGUCAGCUGCGGUGCUCAGAAGAAUAAGCAAUGAAGACAUCUAGAUCAGUAGCUCUUGAGGAACACCCACGUUUUUCGGAUCAUCAAAAGCCAUGCAUCAGUGUGGUGAAUGCAUCCCCUACUGAAGAAGAAAGGGAGAGUUGUACAGAGAGCACCUGAUUGUAGCGGAUCAGAAAGACUGUGUUUGACCCUGCUUGAAAAGAACAGAAAAAAGCAAAGACAAAAGUUGAAUAAAUAAAAAUAUGAUGACCAACCUGCAAACUGUUAUCGAUCAAUGGAUGCAUUCACCGAGUAUUUGUUUCUGUACGUGUGUGAUGUUUGACGUAUCCUGAAAGGAACAGGAACUAUCGAAAGUUUAUCUUUAAGCUACAUGCUUUUGUGACUGCCAUAAAGUUUCACUUGUGUCGCUAAAUUACUGAAAAUGUUGAAGGAAAGAAAACUGGGGAUAGCCACAGAUGCUUGCAGUUUUCAAUUUGCUGACUUGAAUAUUUGCAACUGGU